This 474-nucleotide long non-coding RNA is filed under the name Prunus persica (peach). RNAcentral describes it as "long non-coding RNA (PPER_LNC001742)". The record is from RNAcentral. Lineage: Eukaryota; Viridiplantae; Streptophyta; Magnoliopsida; Rosales; Rosaceae.
UGAGAAGUGCAUCAAGGUAAGGCAACGUAAAGGGCAUGGGACGACAAAGGCAAGGCAAGGCUACACAAUGCAAGGAAAGGCAAAGGGAAGGGAAGGGAAGCUAAGUUAGGCAAAGGCAAGGCAAGGCAAAUGCAAGGUAAGGCAAGGCUAGGGGAGGCGCUUCAAGGCAAGGUAUGGGAACAUUAGGGAAAGGUAAGGGAAGACAAAUAAAAGGCUAGGUAAGACAAGGCAAGACAAGAAAAGGCAAGGCAAGACAAAGAUGCAACAAGGGAAGGCAAGGUCAGACAAAGGCAAGACAAGACAAGGUAAAGGAAAGACAAGGCAUGGAAAAGGUAAGUCAAAGCAAAGGCAAGACAAGGCAAUAACCAAUAAAAAAUUACAUGUGUUGUAAAAAGUGGAUGACCCACAUGUUAAAAGUGGAAAACAAUGUUAGAAGUGAAACACUAGGUUCUACGCAGAGUUGAAGACUUCUUG